CCAAACCCAAUAGCACUGGACGCGAGGGAGUGACCUUACAAGCCGAUUUUGUAGGAUGAGUUAGGCUCAAUACUCAUUUUUUAAGAAGAAUAAUUAGUUGUGGAAUUUAAGCUUGAGUGAAUUAAUCUUAUGUGCUAGAGCUUUUGGUGACGGUUUCUAGACAUUUUGACAAUACCCGAACUUGAUUUGUAUUGAUUUUCCAGCAUUCUUUCAUUAAGGGAGGUCUUCCACAACUAUCAUAAUGCAAAUCUUAGACUUCAAGGCAUCAUUAACCACUCUUUUUUUCAUAUUCCAAGGAUUUAUUCCUAAUAAUUAAAAGAGAAAAAACACAAGUAAAAAUGCUCUAUUAAACUUUAUUAAAAUCAUCUCACUUUAUUAAUAAACUUUGUUACCAAUUCAAUUCACCUACAACAACUACUACUUUUGUGCAAAUUUUUCUCUACAUGUAUGUUUAUUAAAAUUUUAUAGGUGCAUUUUUUAUCUACAAUUGCAUUCAUUAAAAUUUUAUAUGUACGUUGUGCUAAUACUUAGCACGAAAUCACACACUAGUUAUGUUUGUUCUGCAAGUUUGUGAUGAUGACUUCUAUAGUAGUGAGUUUUUUAAAUUGAAUUUAUUUAACCAUAUUUUUUUUAUUUUAUUAUGUUUAUAAAUGCUUAUGGUGUAAAAGAUGCACAUUGUCUAACAAUAUUAUUUUUCUUUUGUUAAUUUUUUUUUUUAUCAUGGAAGGAUAAAAGAUAUAAAUUAUUUCUUAUAAUUAAUAGGAAUUUUUUUUCACCGAUCUAUUUACUAAGUGUAUUAAAGAGACAAACAAAACACUUCAAUGUAGCUAAGAGAUAUUUCACAAUUAUAUAAGUGCGAAAAACUAUUUAAUUCAUACAUGUAAAGAAAGAUUGAGCUUUAUAAAGUGAUCAAAUUAUUUUCUAUUUGUUACAUGCAAAGUGGAAAUAUGGUUAAAUUUAUGAAACUUGUUAUUUUUAUGACUCUAAUUCUUUCCCUUAUUCUUGUUGCGGCUAACUUUGACGCGGUUUUUGACUGUGAUAACGACUCUCAAUGUAUAAACAAAGUUAAGUGUAAGGCUCCAUUGAUUCCGUUUUGCAGAAACCACAAAUGUGUUUGUGAUCCUCAUAAUGGUAUAAAAACCACUUGGAGUGAAAGAUCAUAGUGAGUGCAUGAAUUUCCUAUAUGGUAGAAUGGUUUCUUGAACUACCAAAAUAUCAAAUAGUUUAUGAUAAAAUAUUUCAUGAUGCCACUUAAGUGCUACAUUGGCAUCCAAUGAUUGAAUUUGUUUUCUUUUUCUUUUUCCAUUCCUAAUUUCACAUACCAUGCAGUUAUGGUUCUGUAAUUUGAAUUCUCUUAUAAUACAUUGUUCCUUAUACUUCAA
This is a long non-coding RNA of Trifolium pratense (red clover), 1382 nucleotides long. RefSeq lists it as uncharacterized. The record is from RefSeq and is a predicted model, not a curated record. The transcript has 2 exons. Lineage: Eukaryota; Viridiplantae; Streptophyta; Magnoliopsida; Fabales; Fabaceae.